GAUUAACGCUAGCGGCAGGCAUAAUACAUGCAAGUUGAACGAGAUUAGUUUUAGCAAUAGAACUAGUUUAGUGGCGCACGGGUGCGUAACGCGUAUGCAACCUACCUUAAACAGGGGAAUAGCCUCUCGAAAGAGAGAUUAAUACCGCAUAAUAUAUAUUUAAUGCAUAUUAGAUAUAUUAAACCUACGGGGGUUUAAGAUGGGCAUGCGUGACAUUAGCUAGUUGGUGAGGUAACGGCUCACCAAGGCAACGAUGUCUAGGGGGUCUGAGAGGAUGUCCCCCCACACUGGUACUGAGACACGGACCAGACUCCUACGGGAGGCAGCAGUAGGGAAUAUUGGUCAAUGGGGGCAACCCUGAACCAGCCAUGCCGCGUGCAGGAAUAAGGCCCUAUGGGUCGUAAACUGCUUUUGAACGGGAGAAAUCUAUUUACGUGUAAAUAGUUGACGGUACCGUUAGAAUAAGGAUCGGCUAACUUCGUGCCAGCAGCCGCGGUAA
Molecule: ribosomal RNA, 499 nt
Filed under: uncultured bacterium
Lineage: Bacteria
Description: bacterial SSU rRNA
Rfam family: Bacterial small subunit ribosomal RNA
Source: RNAcentral